This 561-nucleotide small RNA is filed under the name Pan troglodytes (chimpanzee). RNAcentral describes it as "processed transcript". Lineage: Eukaryota; Metazoa; Chordata; Mammalia; Primates; Hominidae. The record is from RNAcentral.
ACAUCCUUUAAAUAUGGUCUUUCUUGGGCGCGCGCGACAAUGUGAGGAGUGGGGUGGAGCGUGUGUGGUGUGUGGCUGCGGCCUGGGCAAGAGCCGCCGCGGACCAUGAGUCUGCCUGGGGUCACAGGAGAAGUACUGAACAUGAGAGAUCAAGCCUGAUUUGUAGUCCUGAUGAUGUCUCUGAGUAAGUUCUGGAGGGAUCCUGCCUCUUGGAGCCUUCGCAGCCAGGCAGCUGUGAACUGUGAGCUAGAGUGAAGCAGAAAUCUAGGAAGAUGAGCUCCAAGAUGGUCAUAAGUGAACCAGGACUGAAUUGGGAUAUUUCCCCCAAAAAUGGCCUUAAGACAUUUUUCUCUCGAGAAAAUUAUAAAGAUCAUUCCAUGGCUCCAAGUUUAAAAGAACUACGUGUUUUAUCCAACAGAGAGAGCAGAGGAGUUAUGUGGACUUGUUGGUUAAAUACGCAAAGAUUCCUGCAAAUUCCAAAGCUGUUGGAAUAAAUAAAAAUGACUACUUGCAGUACUUGGAUAUGAAAAAACAUGUGAACGAAGAAGUUACUGAGUUCCU